GGGACCAACAGUGGAGAAGGUGCUGCCAACACUGGUCUGUGUAAUGGAGCACUGGCCACUGUACAGGAUGCGCACCUCUGAUGGGGAUAACAAGGACAUUUUUGCCCUGGCUGUGAGUUUCUGGGCCUUUGCUCACCCCGAGUCACCUCUCCAGCAGCUCUCCAUCCUCUCCCUGCCUCAGGCACUGAAACCUGGGCUAGGGGCAGGCUCAGGGGGCACCAGGCCCGCUGCUCCCCCUGCGUCUCCUCUUAUGACCUGACACCUCGGCACUGAGCGCUGUCUUGGGCUUCUUCUAUUUCAGGCAACUCUGGUGCUCUGGGUGAUUCUCCAGGAGCCUGAGUGCCACGAGGCAAUGACCCUUUAUUCCUCCCGCCUGUCUGUGGCUCUGCUUCUCCAUGUUGUCAUCACCACACAGCAGAUGCCACCCAAGGAAGUUGAUAACUUCUGGACAGCAUGCCGGCAGGAACGCCGCCUUCCCAGCAACCCCAACAGGUUCCAGUCUGUAGGAGGAUAGCUUGUAUCAUAAGGUAGAGCUAUCCACACCUGGGCCUCAAACUAGGCCUCAGACCAGGCCUCAGGCCUGGUCUAGCAGGCCUCAGUACGUUCAGCAUACGUACUGACAGAUAAACUUAUCUACUACUAAGGAUGUCUUAAGGUGGUAGUGUCACUAACAUAGAACAGUUACUGGGAUGACACGGUGGCUACCUUAAACUGCAAUAGCUUACAUACUUCUGUAUGUUCACCGCCUAUCACAAUGCACCUGCUACUGUAAACUAUUCGCUCUGUACUUAACCGGCCAUCUCACAGAAUAAAGCGGAUUACGUGCUUAGAACCAUAUUGGUGUGGACGCACGUUAUUCUAGUCCCCAGUCUUUCCAGGGUUCCACGUCAUGUGGCGCCUGAAUAGAGACAGAGCCCUGGAUUUUAAUGAAAUAUAAAGCUUCGAUGCUGUGUGAUUAUUUAGCUUAAAUGCUGUGGAUAAUUUAGCUUCAAUGCUGUGGAUUAUUUAGCUUCAAUGCUGUUAAUUAAUUAGCUUAAAUGCUGGAAGUCCUCGCUUGAUUUUGGACGUGUGUGUGUCGCCUGCGAACUACAGUCCAGAAUUCCCGAGGCAGGCUGGGGAGCGUCUGUCGAUUGGAUUGAUCAGAAAAGGCGACAGUACCACCUACUGUCAGCAGAGAGAAGAUGUCUACUAAUGAGAAUGCCAGCACACCGUCAGCUCAAUUAGAGGCUCCUAUGCCCCCGCAGUCUGCCAAUCAACUGCACUAGCCGACGGACUGGGCUCUGAAAUCUUCUUACCCCCCCCCCCUUUCGCUGAGUGUAGAGGCAUGUCAGUGUCGUCUUUGAAGAUAAGCAAGCAUCGUAACUCGACCCUGUGUCGUGCUAUUACCCAGGAAGCUUUCAAGAUUGUUAAACAGAGACAGUGAAAACAUGCAACAAGUGGACAUUGCAAGAAAAACACCAGAAAAAGAAGGGAAAAUAGUCAUCUGUCCCUCUGUUGUGAAAGAAUCCAUCACUGUGUGAGAAAUACAAUGUGAAAAAGAUACAUCCUAUCAUGAAAAAGACAAAGCAAAAAAUGAAAUAGAAAUGAGUUCUUAGCUAGAGUUAUUAACUCUGUGUAAGGAUGAGUUGUUUCUACAUUUUGAUGUUGUUAAAAUUAAUUUUUGUGUGAAUUAAUUUGAAUUUGAGUUAAUUAUUGUUAAACAUAUAGUUUUAAAGCUUGUUUUUAGGAUUUGGGCCCUGAUAAGUUUAAGUUAAGUUUGAGUCUAUACUUAAAUGUUAAGGAGUUUAAUUAGUAAUGAUUUUUUAGUGAGUUACCACACAUAUAGAGUUUAUAAAGUUAAUGAAGGUUGUAGAUUUUUGUUGAGACGUACUUAUGUUAGAUUUAAGAGUUAGUUGAUUUAAAGAGUGUUUUAUAAUUUGUAAAAGGUAUAGUUGUUUAAUUUGUAAAGUUUAGUUAGAACAAAAAAAAAAAAAAAAAAAAAAAAAAAAAAAAAAAAAAGAAAAAAGAAAAA
Long non-coding RNA from Prinia subflava (tawny-flanked prinia), 2011 nucleotides. RefSeq lists it as uncharacterized. Lineage: Eukaryota; Metazoa; Chordata; Aves; Passeriformes; Cisticolidae. The record is from RefSeq and is a predicted model, not a curated record. The transcript is spliced from 2 exons.